This is a small nucleolar RNA of Solanum dulcamara, 107 nucleotides long. The record is from RefSeq and is a predicted model, not a curated record. Lineage: Eukaryota; Viridiplantae; Streptophyta; Magnoliopsida; Solanales; Solanaceae.
UGGUAGUGAUGAGGACAACUAAUCAACAAAGAUUUAAAUCUAUCCCAAGAUUGGUAUAUAUUUUCUCCUCUUUUUUGAUUAAAACUCAAGAUCUCACUCCUUAGCUU